Molecule: unclassified non-coding RNA, 536 nt
Filed under: Hevea brasiliensis (rubber tree)
Lineage: Eukaryota; Viridiplantae; Streptophyta; Magnoliopsida; Malpighiales; Euphorbiaceae
Source: RNAcentral
GUUGAACUGAGAAAAUUUCCUUUUUAUUUUUUUAUUUUUUUUAGGAAGUACUAAACAAGGAGGAAGGAGAAAGAAAGGAAGGGAAGGGAAGGGAAGGUGAGAUCAAGGGAGUGUGGGUCAGAAUUCAGAAACAGCUACACGUUGUGAAGAGGAGGCAAUUGCAUGUGCCCACAUGGCCUAUCGCAGCUGGAGAGAUGAACAACUCCACACUCACCCUCCUUAAAUACGCAAUUAACCAUCUUUCCAGCUUUUACAUUUCCCUGCAUCUUCUUUCUUUUUCUUUCUGUCGGCUUUUCUGCUCGUACGACAUCUGAAUACUGAAUAUUAGCAUCACCAAGCACUCCCUCUCUAUACCCACAAAUCAUUUUUGCAAUAAUGAAGGAAAACAGUGAUGGGUUUGUUAGGGCGGAUCAGAUUGAUCUCAAAAGUCUUGAUGAGCAACUCGAGAGGCAUCUCAAUAAGGUACGGGCCAUGGACAAGAAUAAGAAACCCGAUGAUGGUCAUCUCUCAUCAGUGGCUGCUGCUGCUACCGCCGG